CCCUUACCCUUACCCUUACACCCCUCGUGCCCACACAUGUACAUCAUCGCCACCAACGUCCUUUUCUAGUGGAUCCCCGCGGUAUAGAAGACGCAGCAACUGCAGCCCGCAGCUCUUCCUGCCACUUCCACCUACCGGGCCUCUCCUAUCGGCCGCUCGCUCGCCCUCUCCCUCUCUUUCUCUCUCUUUCCUUCUCUCUCGUGUCGUCACCGCGUGCUUGUGCGUGAGCGUUCCCGUGGUUGGGGUUGUGACCUCUUGCUCAGCUGACGCAUGCGCGCAUGUGUUGUGUCGCUUGCCUCCCCCCCCCUCCCCCCUCUUUACGUCUUUAUUUUUUUUUUUGUUAUUUUGCUCUCUUCUUACUUUCGCUUGGUUCGUCAUUCAUCCUCAUCCGUCACAGACUUGUAUCUGCUGCUUCCGCUUCCGCCUCCGCUGCUAAUUUUGUGGUUGCUUGCCUGUUGUAUGCCUCCUACUCCCGUCUUUCCUCUCCGCCUCUUUCCUUCUCAUUCUUGUUCGGUGUACAUCUUCCAUCGUCACCUUGUGUUGCGUGCGCAAUACCUCCGGCCGUCGCGGCCUUAGUUGUUGCAUUUUGUUGUAGAAUGCGGGCAGGAAGGUGUGUGUGUGUGCGCGCGCGUGCAUGCCGGCUUGAUGCCGCGACCAUCUCCGUCCUUGCCCAGCGAUAUAGUAGCACCACCAGCGGCGGCCUCCACGUCCUUGUCGACCUCGCAGGGGGCGGCGUUCGGCAGCGCGUGUGGCGAUGCCGACGAGUGCAGCAGUCGGCGAGUCGGCAUCGGCACAUCUCUGACCAGCGCAACAGAUGCGCAGCAGCGGAUGAGAGGAAACCCAAUGGUCGCCCCACUGCCGGGCCCGACGACGGAGCAGUUACGCUUCGCAGAGUCCCACGCCUUUGCCAACGCGGUGCCGUCGGACACAGAGGCCGGCAAGUCACUAAACAGCUCCUCCACUCUCCAGCCACGAGGGCGACGGGGUCACGCGCACGGCGAUACGGCGGGUGCCUCUACCUCGAGGGAGGCUAUUAGUAUCAACAGCGUCAAGAGUAGCAGGAGCACUGGAUGUGGCGGCGGUCGAAGCGCUCAUCCUGAAGCUCCGCAGGCGCUCGGACAGGUCUCUGAGCCGCAGAACACCGCAUCACUCACGUCUCUGCACACAACCUCCCCGCCCGCCACGCCGUCCGCUGCCGCUGGCGCUUCUGAGUCAAGCAUCAUAAAUCACAAGCCCGCACGCAGGCCACGAAUCAACAAGAAGGCCGCUGAGGUUGGUGUUCUGCGGACAGGCCGACGGCUUUCGUGCGCAGCCGCCUCCACGUCUUCCACAACAACCACAUCAACGACUGCGUUCUGUCGCGGACAGAACAUGAUCGCUUCCCUGAUGCCGUCCGCGCAGCAUCGACAGCGGCGGCGUCUUUCCUCUCCGGCAUCCUCAGCCCCGUCACUGACUGCACAGGAUGCAUUUGCCGUGAACCAGCACGAGGUGAAGACAGGCGCCGCGUCUGGCCGCGCUCGGGUGGCGCCGACGACGGCGACGACGACGGCAGUGCCAGCCAGCGAGAGGUCGUGUUCACCAGCUGCGCAUGGCCGCGAAGUGACAGAGGCGCGAAGAGGUGAGAUCGCUGGUAUGUCUGCGGCGUUCACCGAAAUCGCGUCGGCCGCAGCGGGUGCUGGAGAGAAAGGCCUGCAGAGUGCGUGUGUAGAGGGCCGUUCUUUGUUCUCCGCAGAAGAUGGUGACGCCGGCAGAGGAGACAGUGCAUGCACGCGCAGCCCAGCUGCUUCUGCGAACACUUCUGUCGCCGUUGUUGCUGCGACGACUCGCCAGCUGCGCUUUUUGCACGAGUGCCGCGCCAGCAGUACUAACGCCUCCACCGCGUCGUCGGCCCCGCCGGCGUUGCCGACAAGGCUGCGCACGCGUCCGCUGCCCAUGCACUUCAGCAGCCGCUGCCGCCACGGCGCGCACCGAUAUGCAGAUGAAAACGCAGUCGCCUUGGCUCGCGCAGGCGGUGCCAACGACGCGCAGUCACUGUCAUUGCCUUUAGCGCCAAGCGUUUUGUGCGCCUUCGCGCUUCCACACUACCGACACUAUUCUCAAGUGCAGCAAGCAUCAAGCCCGCGCAGCGAGGACGGCAGCCCCAUGCUCUGGCGCGAGAGCCGCUGCGGCUUCUCCAGGGUCGAGCAGGUGUCGGCCAUCACCGCUGAGGAAACACAGGAGCCCUGUGUGACAGACCACCACAUCUCGCGGCAACCGGCCUCCCCAGCCACCGUGGCGGGAGCGUCAUCUUCAGUAGUUACCGGCCGACUUUCUGCGAAGGGUGUGGACGCAGACGCCGCGGCAGCGGCGUGGCGGGUCGACUCUGCGAUGCGCACGUCUCCGCCGGCACCGCUGCACGCCUCUUUUGACGGCUUCGCGCAGUCGUCGGCUGCGGUGCCGCCGCUGUCGGCGUUUUCUGUCGCACAAGCAGCGCCCCGGCCAGCAGCAGCCCAAAGGCGCACGGCUGACUGCUCCAUGGUCAGUGUGCAAGCCAGAAAGGAAGCCUCCACUCAUGGCAAGCCAUGGUUCUCGCCAGCGCUAGAGCGGCAAGCGCGAGCAGCAGCAGCAGCACCGAUCGCCAGGUACGGCGAUGAUGAGUACUGCUUCGGCACCCAAGGCGAGCACGCGGAGCCGCUCAUUCCCGCCGCAAAGUUCUCCUCGAUCGACCCACCACGAGCCAGCGAUGCGCAACCGCAAGUGUCGACGUUGUCGUCCCUCGCGCGGGGUGGUGGCAUCACGGAACGAGGAGCUGGCUCGCCCGUCUUGCCGGACGCGCCGCCAUCGGUGGAGAAGGCACGCGCCGCUAGUGGGCAUCCUUCUUCUUCGCUUGAGCUGGAAGGGAACAGCAGCGCAGUGAUCCGCGCGGCAGCCGUGGCGGCGGAGGCAGAGGGUGGCGUGCCGCAGUCUGCACUGUCAUCGUCGCCGAAACCCCAGAGCGCGACGACGAUGAUUGCUGCCCCUGCAGCAGCCUCCGUGUCGCAGCUCAGUCACACGCCGGCCAUCAUGCUCACAACGUCUCUCUUGGGCUUCUCCUCUCGUAGCCCAACACCUGUCACGAACUCCUGCGCUACCCCGUUCCCGCUGCCGUGGCACCCGCCCCACCCCAUGCUGCCCCUCCAGCAGCUGAGUGCGGAAUCCACAUCCAGUAUCUACGGCGGCCCAGGCAGCGGAGGCGGUGUUGUUGGCGGCGUUGGCAGCAACAUCAACGCGUCAACGACGCGAUCGCCGUUACCGGAGUGGCCACGAUUGCGCACACUUCCGCAGCAGCCAGCAUGUAUGCCUGCAACGCGGACGUCAGGGGAGGGGCACAGGGUAGACAGCUUGAGUCGCAUGAACAUCAGCUGCGGCGGCGGUGGCGUCCCUCCACCGUAUCAGUCCGUACCCUCCCUCCUGUCCCAUUCCGUAUGGAAGAGUAGGGGCCCCGGGCGACCCGAAUCACCGUCUCCUUUGGGGUCGCUCUCAGAGCAGUGCAGUGGCGGUAUUGGUGGUGCUGGAGGUGAUAACCCUGAAGGGGUUGCUGGGGCCGUGGAGCAGCACCAGCAUCAGCCACCAGCCUGUCGUCUCACUGCUUUCAAAGGGCUGGCCUCGGACAGCCACGCGCAGGUUGGCUUCGGCUCCGUGACGGCCGACAGCGAUGGAGCGAUGCUGCAGGCAACGCCGGUGUCGCCACCGCCGCAGUGGCAGCAUCUGAAGAGCCACAGCGGCGAUAUUUUCGCCCCCACCACCACGGCGGCGCGGCCGCCGAUGACUGCGCUCGGCCCUGUGGUGCGGCCGUGGCCCCACCAGCGCACCAGCAGCAACGUCAGUCUCCUCAGUAGCAUCGCACACUCGCCGCUCGCCAGCGGCGUCGGCGGCAGCAACGGCAGUGACACGGCCACCAGCACGCCGCCCCCACUUCACAUGGCGAUAGCAAGCUUGGGUGUGGCCCCAACGCUCUGCACCUUCAGCGCGUCGUCCACCUUCACCGGGUUUGGCCCGGCUCCCUCCUGCAUCCUCGCUGCUGGCCCUCGGAGUGCCUCCAUCAGCGGCAAGGCCUACGUGCACCCCGUGACGACCUCUCCACCGCCCCGGUAUCGCCGUGCCGGAUCGGCGUCGUCGCUAUCCUCGAUGGGCGCCUUUGCCUUCAACGAUGCCGGCACGGCUCCAGUGAUGCACAGUGGAGUGCGGUGCCGCGUGGCGGAGUGCGUGCCGCCGUCCACUGGCAGCAGCACCCCCAGAAAUCGCUUCGGAGGGCGGGUGGACGGCGGGGCCGAGAACGACGCAGACGACGUGGUGCACGGUGACGAGGGCGAGGACUACCUCGAGGACGAAGGCGCCGGCUCCUGCAAGGCCACCCAAGGCGGGAACGGCAGGCGUUGGAGAGUCACCUCCAGUGGCUGCGGGGGUGGUGCGCGCUGCUGUGGGAAGCCUGUGCGGCUGAAGCAUGGGACCGCUAUCGAGACCGCCAUUCAAGCAGGCGCCUACGCACGCCACCCAUCGUGCGUGUACCUCUUUGCCGGCGGCGGUGGCAGUGGCGGUGACGCGAGUGUUGGUUUCAGCCGAGCAGGGGUGACUAGCACCGCCGCGGCAGCAGCGCAGGCGGGCGACGACGGCCGUUGGUCUGGCAGCGAGGACCCGGUGACAUGGCUGUCGUGUGCAGCGAGCUUUACAGCGUCUUCGACGUCGGCAUCGACGACGUAUGCCUCGUCCUCCUUUGGCACCGUUCCCUGCGAUGGCGAGCAUGUGAGGCACGGGAGUUCGCAGCACCAACACCAGCAGCAGCACAGCAGCCGCGAUGGCGGUGACAACAGCCUUUGUGAUCCAUCGGCAGAUGCCGAGGAGAGAGAGGACGGGCUCGCCGUGUGCACCCUCUACGCUGCGGCACCGCGGCACUACCACUACCGCCGCACAGUAGAUGCGCCUGCAUCAUGCGACGCGGUGUUUCUGAGGGGGCGUGAGAAGCGCCACCACCGCUACGUGCGGGUUCACCACCCACGACGCCAGCAUCGCUGUCUCUCGAACUCUCCAGCGACCGGCAGGGACGUGGUAGAAGGAGUGGAACAUGCACAUGCUGCGAGACCUCUCCCAGCCUUCACAACGGAGGUUAACAGCACCGCCGCGCGGCCUAUCCUCAAUCUCGACCCGGCAGCUAAUGAGAACGUGAACGCAGGCGUACAUAACAGGCGCGGUCAGCGGCCUGCGGUGACAGCGUUACCCGGCACAUGCGUCCCGUACAGCCCCCACCUGUCCACCUCUUCCCUGCUCUAUUACGACGAUGUGUGCAGCGAUGACGUGGAUGAUGUCUACUAUCAGAUAGAGAAGCGUCUGUUCCCGGUCGCUGACGAAGCGGGGCAGAGCCUCUGCAGAGCCUCCCGAUCAUCGCCACCACCGCCACAGACACCUGCCGCUGCCCCAUCAGCAUCCCCGACAGGUAACACAAGUGAGGCACCUCACGACGGCUCCGACGAGCCAUCGAUCGACGCGCUCUUCACGGUGCUGAACGUGCCGCUUCGCCUCAACCUGCGCGGUGGCUUUCAUCUCUCCGACUACUAUGCCCCCUGCCCCGUGUGCCACCCAGCCAUGCGAACGGCGGCAGAAGACACGGCCUCAGGCUUGGCUGCAACGGCAAGCAGCUGCAGUUGUUGCUCGUGCCGCUGCUCGUCCGUCUGCUUCCGCUCCACAAGGCGGUCUACCUUGUCGUCUCGAGCGAUGUCGCGGAUGUCGGGUGGCACCUCGCCUGGAUCCACGCAGCUCAUCUUCUCCUCCGACUCUUCCGCCAAGGCCUCGGCGUCUGGGUUUGCCAUGGGACUGCGUCAGACGACGCCGCCGCCACCACCUCCCGUUCCUGCGGCGUUGGCAGGUCGGCAACCAGGAGUAUCAUCAGCAGCCACGGCGACACAGCCAUACGGCGUCGGCGCUGCCACUAGUGCCAGCGACACCUUGAGCUCGCUCCUCCUGCGGCAUGGAGGCGUGGCCAGAACGUGCGAUGCGAAGCGGCGAGAGCGAAAAGCAGCGGCAGCGGGGACAGUCGGAAGUCACAGAACCACCGCUGCAGGUGAGCUGGCGCCCUCCACACUCACCGCACGGUCGAGCCCCUCCUGUGCAAGCGGCACGACCGACAAGCCGCUGUCACCGUCCAAGUUGAUGCGAAGGUUUCCUCCAGCCUCUGCCACUCAAAGGGGCGCCAAGUCCGCAGCCGCACCAGCACCAGCACCAGCACCAGCACCGGCAACAGGCAACGAUAUCGAGGACAAGGUGCGCGACCCCAAGUACGGCAGCAGAGGGACGCGUGGCGGCGGCGAUCCAGGUCGGCUGCCGCCGCCGUUAGUGGUUACUGCAGCGCACCGGCACUCACGCUACCGGCGGCAGCGAGCGCGGCAUCCGCCCGCAGUCGUCACGGCCCGCCGUCGGCAAGCGCAUCAUCGCGGCGGCGGAGUCGGAGACGGAGCGUUGCGCUCGCAGUACAGCCGGUUCAUGCGGCAACGCCUCCUGUGCGUGCGCGUCAACGACAAGAUUACCUACAUCGACCCGAAAGUUGCAACCUGCGCUGCGCGCCUCCUGGCUGGUGCAGCCCUGCUGGCUGAGAAGACGAAGAGGAAGGAGGCGGAGAGGGAACGGCGGCAUCGUGCGGCAGCCGCCGACGGAGACUUAUAGCGCUCCGCCAGCGUCGCGGCUGCCGCAGCAAGCGGCAACCUUUCGCCGCCACAACCGCUUUCGAAACAGUCACCACCACCGUCACCAAUGUCGCCACACUCGUGGCGAGCUCCGCUGCUGCGCUCGGGAUCAGCGGCCGCAGGCUUUGGAACGCCAGCGACAGUCAUCGACGUUCUCGCAUACUGAGGCUGCACCAGGCGCGCGAGGCAGCAACGAGAGGGUCGUCCCCGCUGACGGCGGCGGUUGAAAUCGCAUGGGUGCGCCAGGUGAGUCGUUGACAGCUUUCCACAACGCCCUCGGUGCGCGUCGGGAUGCGGAUGCAAGUACUACGCGAGAGCUGCACACACAAGCACCCGCAGCAGAAGAACCAAGCGAUGCAGCGAGUGCCGGAGCUCAGCGUCGUGCUGGCGUUUGCAUAAUCUUUCAGAAUGGCAGCGGAUGAAGUGGGCACCGCGGACGUGCCUAGGUUGACCAAACAGUAGCGGUGCACCGAGGUGAGAGAAGCAGCAACAGCUCCUCUCUUCGCUCUCGCGCGAUCUCGAGCUGUGCCUCAUUCUCCUUGCUGACGGUGCACCGCGUGCCAUAGUGAUCGAGGCGCUGACGGGCGUGGACAACGACGGCUCCACAGAGAAGACGGAGUUUAUUCCACGAACAGCGGCGCCUGGGUCGCCGAGGAUCCUCGUUCCUCCUUUACAGGUGUUGCCACAGCGAUCCUCGCACCAGAACGCCCUCCCUGGCGGCACCGUUCGAAAGGGUAGGUAGGUGCCGAAGCAGCUAGCCCGUGUUCUCGACUGAGCAGCGGGAAGGAGGCACUGGCAUUCAUGUCCUCCGUCUUUCUCUCUCUGUUUCGCGACCCCUGCCCCGCCCCUUGCAGCUGGUGCUCCACGUGGCUCCGUGCGUUGCCCGCUUUCUCGCGCGAAGAGGACGAGAGAGAGACCAGUAAAGGCGCCAAAGGUGGAGGGAGAGUCGCGGAUGUGCACGUGAGGGCACGGCGGCGGGCGCAGAGAGAAGUGGGCCGGCUGCGUCUGUCGGUUGCUGUUGCUGGUGACAGCGAUGUUUGGCCUUGGCCACCACCACCACCACUACCCUCCCCACUUUUUUCGUUGUCGGUUGCUAAAUCGCCCUCCCUCUUGCACAGACACUCGUAAACGGAAGUGGGAGAGGGAGGGCUGCAUCCACUGUCUGCCCCCGAAGUAGCCCUGCACACGCUCUUCGAAUGUCCUCUCCGGCACGUCUGCCACUCGCAGCACUU
This 7924-nucleotide unclassified non-coding RNA is filed under the name Leishmania donovani. Its description in RNAcentral is "gene:LdHU3.12.0460(CDS-product:hypothetical_prote in_conserved)". The record is from RNAcentral. Lineage: Eukaryota; Euglenozoa; Kinetoplastea; Trypanosomatida; Trypanosomatidae.